GACGAACGCUGGCGGCGUGCUUAACACAUGCAAGUCGAGCGGUAAGGCCCUUUCGGGGGUACACGAGCGGCGAACGGGUGAGUAACACGUGGGUGACCUGCCCUCAGCUCUGGGAUAAGCCCGGGAAACUGGGUCUAAUACUGGAUAUGACUCCAUGACGCAUGUUGUGGGGUGGAAAGCCUUGUGCGGCGUGGGGAUGGGCCCGCGGCCUAUCAGCUUGGUUGGUGGGGUGAUGGCCUACCAAGGCGACGACGGGUAGCCGGCCUGAGAGGGCGACCGGCCACACUGGGACUGAGACACGGCCCAGACUCCUACGGGAGGCAGCAGUGGGGAAUCUUGCGCAAUGGGCGAAAGCCUGACGCAGCGACGCCGCGUGAGGGAUGACGGCCUGGUGUAAC
This 398-nucleotide ribosomal RNA is filed under the name uncultured bacterium. RNAcentral describes it as "bacterial SSU rRNA". It matches the Rfam family "Bacterial small subunit ribosomal RNA", at positions 28 to 429 of the family's 1533-position model. The record is from RNAcentral.